CCGAGCAGAGUAGCCAAUUUACCCUUCGUUGCUCUCACUCUCCUUUCUAAUUUUCUCUUCCUCCCCAUCGCCGGCAUGGUGCCUGCUCCCCUUCGUGGCCACAGCCAGCGCCGUUGCACUGUUCCGCACCCACCCUCCUCCCCCUCUUCCGUUUCUCUGCCACGACACUGUUUCCCUACGCGGGUUCUCUCCCAUUCCCCAUCAUUAGGCGGCCACGCUAUGGCAUCAGAGCGGGGCGCACGCCGAUCUGCGUGCGGCGGUUGGGGUGGCGGCGACGACGUCGGCGUGGAGGCAGGGCAGCAAGCAGGGAGAGGGGCGCACCCUCUAAAUUCCCCAUCAGCAGGCGGCGGCUCCAUGGCAUCGGGGCGGGGCGCGACCUCGGAAGGCAAUUGGGGUGGCGGCGAUGGCGUCGGUGUGGAAGCGGGCCGAAGGGAUUUGCGGGCGAUAGCAGUGACUUGCGCGACGCCGGCGAUUGGUCGUCCCUCCCCUUCGCUGGCCCUUGGAGGCUAUGGCGACGGCGGUUUCAUCCGUGUGUGCCCUCACCAAGCCCAUAGCCCAUACAAUCCAACAGGCCAGCAUACAGCACUGCUCCGACUUUGCUCGCUCGCUCUGACUCCGAGAUUCGAUUGCCUCUCUCUCGAAGUCUCGAUUCGGAAGGGUUAACUCGCACAGCGGCAGGCGGCGCGACAUCCGUAUCGAGUAACGAGGGCGGAUCAGCAGUCAGCGAAGCACGAUAGCGGUCGGCGGCCUGCGGGAAGCGUAUCAGCGGGAACGGCCAGGCCAGGGUCAACGACGGCGGACCAGCCUAGGCCGAUGCCCCGGUGGGUGAAUGAGCUCGAUGGGAGGUACUCCCGCCCCCUCCACCCUCUUCAUCUCUCUCUCGGGUGGAAGCCGAGGGACGCCGAGGCUUCAUGCUCUACAUGGAUGGAGGCACCACGGUCACAAUCGUGGCAGCGUCCAUGGUGUCAAAGGGCGGCAACAAAGGCAAGCAGGGUGACGCGGCCGUGGCGAGGUGGCGGUGAGCAGAAUCUGGGAGUGGGAGUGGCCGACGAAGAUGGAGUCUAGCAGCACCACACCACCAACCAAGAAAUGAGCUAUCACAGUGCGCAUAAGCAACGUCGGUUACCAUCUCCAGCGUGCCAUGGGAUUGACCACGAGCCGUGCAGACUAUAACAAGAACGGUGGCGUGCACGCAAUGCCCUCGAUGAUCUUGAUGCCGUUGUGUCACAGAGCUUUAGCUUGCUGCCUCAGAGUGUCACGAAGAACCUCUCAUUUGGAACUGAAGCUUUCUGGCUUGUGCAACAAAGGAAUUCAGGUGUUGGUUUUAUUGCUAGAUAUGACACGAAGAAAAUAGCAAGUAUUUUGUAUUCGUUAUCUCAUAUAAAAUAGUUAGGUAUUUGGUAUGUAUUACACUGCAAUGACAAUCUAGAUGUAUUGAUAUACAAUGCCAUUCAUGGAGUAAGCAUUGCAUAUACUUGCUUUGUCUUAAUUAAUCGAAACUUCCUAUGUUUUCCUACAAGGCAUUUACUUUCUUAUUGCUACAAAAAUGCAUCAACCAGAACGGUAGAUUUCCUACAUAUCACUAUAAAUAGGUUCCCAACUGAAUGUUUUUAUUUAACAUUCUAGCAUAAUCUUGGUGAGAUGUGAUUAUGGAAGGUUUGGGCCUUUAUGGUGCUUCUCUCUAUUGCAUCUGCACUACACAUGAAUUGAGAAAUAUAUAUUGAUUCUUUCAUGCAAUUGAGUUUUCCUUUAUUCAAGCAAGGAAACAAUUAAUGAUAUGUCCAAAUGUUCGUUUCUUAUACUGAACUAUUUAGUAACUUCAGUUCAGUUCUGAUUUGCCCAUGCAUGUUGUACAUUCAUGUUUCACAGAGUAGAUGUAUUUGUUGUUCUUUGAUUCUAUAUCAAACCUCUUCUAGCACAGGUCAUAGCUGUUGACAUGAAUUUCCCUCGCUCUAGAAAUAUAUUUUCAUGUCAAGAGAUGCCAUGCCUGUAGGUCGAACUGUCCAAGCACCAAAGCUAGAACUGCUAAUGAAUUGUUCAUGUGGGAAGACCAUAUUCUUAUUCUUAUAUCUGUCACUUGAACUGCUAAUUAGCAUAUAUUUUAGUUACAUUACAAAUCACUGCAACGGAGUGAAUUAAUCAUCUCUAUAGAGAACCUUUCAAUUAAGAGAUGGGAUCACCAAAAGUCAUAGCAAUACAUAUCGCUGCAAAAAAAGGCAUUAACCAUCCCUAUUAAGGGACGCAAUCACCAAAAUUCCUAUGCAAUAUCUUUUUUUACCUCUCAAUUUGCAGCAAGAGAUUAUUCAAGAGGAAAACAUUUGACAUUUUUUUUACCUUAUUCCUUUUCAAAGAAUUGGCAUUAAUCAUCCCUAUGCGAAGUCAUUAUGGAAGAUGAAAGAUCAGGGAAAUCAUUCGAGUUAACAAACCUAUGGAUCAUCUCAAAUAACUGUUCUGGGUAUAUAGUUCAGUUCCAUGUAAAUAUUAACCUCGGUAUUUUUUCAAUGCAGAUAUUUCUUAUGCAUGUACAUGUGUCUCAGUAUUUGAGACCCCAACAGAAGAUUUCCAAUAUCUACUUCAAUGCUGGUAUGCAACAUGAUCUGUGAGUAGAGCUUAGUAGGCAACCUUUUAAUAUAUGUGAUAGCAUAGCCUUUUUUUUAAUAUGGUAACAUCGUAUUUUACUAUUUUAGAGAGCUAUUUGUAGAAGGAUAAAACUGAAAUCAACCCAAGGUACGGAUGAGUAAGUAGUGGUACUAUUGUGUUGUUCUCUCCAUUUAUUAAGACGUGAUAUAGUUCCCAGUGGUACUAUUGUGUUGUUUUCCUAACUUGCUCUUACUCUUAGAGAUUUUAAAGUCUGCCCAUGCAUUUCUACGUGAUGAAAGCACCAAAUCCUUUCUUGAUUCGGUUCGAGAUACUCAUAGCAUGAAAGACACAUUGACAAUUACUACUGGUGUGGUACCAUUUCACCACUCAUUAGAUAAAGUCUUAGGAAAAUUGAGCUACCAAAAAUGUUGUGUUUCUGGUAGCGUAACAGAGUACAUGCUCCUCAAUUUUAUCUUUGAUUUAUCCAACUGCAUGUUUGGUCAUGCACGCCAAACGGGAGGGGAAAUCAGUGUCCUGCACUUGAACAACACCGGAGUAACAACAAAGCACAACAUGGAGGGUGUUGUAUGAGUACAUCGACCGAAAAUGACAAUACCGGAAGUGAUAUGUGUUGUUUGAGUUCUCUACUUCAUGGUGUCCAUUGAAAUCUGGAUGACAAAAAAAGCAUAUGUAACAAGCCUACAAUGUUUGUAUCAUGUUGCCAGCCAGAUUACUUAAUUACUAUAUCGUCCAAACGAUGAGCAUAUUUUUGGUGAAUAAGUUCGAGUAGUUCAAAAUUAUUGGAUUUAGUCUUUUCUACUAAUUUUUGUACGUGUUCUGAUUGAUGCUCUAUAUUUCUCUCUCUCAAUAUCUCAAGGAAGGGAAGGUCAAAUGAUGCCCAACUAGGUAAUACAGUAAUGUUGUGUGUGCUGUCCAGAAAGUAAGAUCAGUUGGAAAUUAUUGAUGUUGCUGCUGCAUGUUGUAUCAAUUUUAUUUGUGUUUCGGCAGUUCUUUGUCAAUGAUAUGUAUGUGUUUUUCUCUUCUUAGGGUUUAGGUAGCAGAGAUUAUGGUGAAAAACUAAUCAUCAAAAUUAUUUUCAGUAUUUUAUAUAUCAAUGUAUAUAUGACAUAUAUCUUACAUGUAUCCCCUUAUGUAGAGCACCCUUGGGUGAGGAUAUAAUUAUGG
Molecule: non-coding RNA, 3765 nt
Organism: Lolium perenne
Lineage: Eukaryota; Viridiplantae; Streptophyta; Magnoliopsida; Poales; Poaceae
Source: RefSeq, a predicted model, not a curated record